Molecule: ribosomal RNA, 290 nt
Filed under: uncultured bacterium
Lineage: Bacteria
Description: partial 16S ribosomal RNA
Rfam family: Bacterial small subunit ribosomal RNA
Source: RNAcentral
UAGGCCCUACGGGAGGCAGCAGUGGGGAAUAUUGCGCAAUGGGCGAAAGCCUGACGCAGCGACGCCGCGUGAGGGAUGAAGGACUUCGGAUCGUAAACCUCUGUCAGCAGGGAAGAACGGUCACUGUGCUAAUCAGCAGUGAAUUGACGGUACCUGCAAAGGAAGCACCGGCUAACUCCGUGCCAGCAGCCGCGGUAAUACGGAGGGUGCGAGCGUUAAUCGGAAUUACUGGGCGUAAAGCGCUCGUAGGCGGUAUGUCAAGUCAAGGGAGAAAUCCCCGCGCUCAACGC